GGUCUCUCUCAUUUCUUCCUAGUACAAUUCUAAUUACCUAUCGUGAUCGCUGAGCGAUCACUCUGGUAAUUUUCAAUUAUUUUUCAUCUACAUAUUCCG
Long non-coding RNA from Daphnia pulicaria, 99 nucleotides. RefSeq lists it as uncharacterized. The transcript has 3 exons. NCBI's taxonomy places the organism in Eukaryota, Metazoa, Arthropoda, Branchiopoda, Diplostraca, Daphniidae. The record is from RefSeq and is a predicted model, not a curated record.